This 730-nucleotide ribosomal RNA is filed under the name uncultured bacterium. Its description in RNAcentral is "bacterial SSU rRNA". It matches the Rfam family "Bacterial small subunit ribosomal RNA", at positions 771 to 1501 of the family's 1533-position model. The record is from RNAcentral.
AACAGGAUUAGAUACCCUGGUAGUCCACGCCGUAAACGAUGUCGACUUGGAGGUUGUGCCCUUGAGGCGUGGCUUCCGGAGCUAACGCGUUAAGUCGACCGCCUGGGGAGUACGGCCGCAAGGUUAAAACUCAAAUGAAUUGACGGGGGCCCGCACAAGCGGUGGAGCAUGUGGUUUAAUUCGAUGCAACGCGAAGAACCUUACCUACUCUUGACAUCCAGAGAACUUAGCAGAGAUGCUUUGGUGCCCUCGGGAACUCUGAGACAGGUGCUGCAUGGCUGUCGUCAGCUCGUGUUGUGGAAUGUUGGGUUAAGUCCCGCAACGAGCGCAACCCUUAUCCUUUGUUGCCAGCGGUUAGGCCGGGAACUCAAAGGAGACUGCCGGUGAUAAACUGGAGGAAGGUGGGGAUGACGUCAAGUCAUCAUGGCCCUUACGAGUAGGGCUACACACGUGCUACAAUGGCGCAUACAAAGAGAAGCGACCUCGCGAGAGCAAGCGGACCUCAUAAAGUGCGUCGUAGUCCGGAUUGGAGUCUGCAACUCGACUCCAUGAAGUCGGAAUCGCUAGUAAUCGUGGAUCAGAAUGCCACGGUGAAUACGUUCCCGGGCCUUGUACACACCGCCCGUCACACCAUGGGAGUGGGUUGCAAAAGAAGUAGGUAGCUUAACCUUCGGGAGGGCGCUUACCACUUUGGGAUUCAUGACUGGGGUGAAGUCGUAACAAGGUAACC